RNAcentral lists this ribosomal RNA (411 nucleotides) under Verrucomicrobiota bacterium. Its description in RNAcentral is "Verrucomicrobia bacterium partial 16S ribosomal RNA". It matches the Rfam family "Bacterial small subunit ribosomal RNA", at positions 355 to 776 of the family's 1533-position model. Lineage: Bacteria; Pseudomonadati; Verrucomicrobiota. The record is from RNAcentral.
UGGGGAAUAUUGCGCAAUGGUGGAAACCCUGACGCAGCGACGCCGCGUGCGGGAUGAAGGCCUUCGGGUUGUAAACCGCUUUUGAUUGGGAGCAAGCUUUCGGGUGAGUGUACCUUUCGAAUAAGCGCCGGCUAACUACGUGCCAGCAGCCGCGGUAAUACUUAGGGCGCAAGCGUUAUCCGGAAUUAUUGGGCGUAAAGAGCUUGUAGGCGGUUCGUCGCGUCUGGUGUGAAAGCCCAUCGCUUAACGGUGGGUUUGCGCCGGGUACGGGCGGGCUAGUGUGCAGUAGGGGGGACUGGAAUUCCCGGUGUAACGGUGGAAUGUGUAGAUAUCGGGAAGAACACCAAUGGCGAAGGCAGGUCUCUGGGCUGUUACUGACGCUGAGAAGCGAAAGCGUGGGGAGCGAACAGG